This 828-nucleotide ribosomal RNA is filed under the name Setoseptoria phragmitis. RNAcentral's name for it is "partial large subunit ribosomal RNA". It matches the Rfam family "Eukaryotic large subunit ribosomal RNA", at positions 95 to 937 of the family's 3401-position model. The record is from RNAcentral. Lineage: Eukaryota; Fungi; Ascomycota; Dothideomycetes; Pleosporales; Lentitheciaceae.
GAAGCGGCAACAGCUCAAAUUUGAAAUCUGGCCCUCUUUGGGGGUCCGAGUUGUAAUUUGCAGAGGGUGCUUUGGUGUUGACAGCGGUCUAAGUUCCUUGGAACAGGACGUCACAGAGGGUGAGAAUCCCGUACGUGGCCGCUUGCCUCCGCCGUGUAAAGCCCCUUCGACGAGUCGAGUUGUUUGGGAAUGCAGCUCUAAAUGGGAGGUAAAUUUCUUCUAAAGCUAAAUACUGGCCAGAGACCGAUAGCGCACAAGUAGAGUGAUCGAAAGAUGAAAAGCACUUUGGAAAGAGAGUCAAACAGCACGUGAAAUUGUUGAAAGGGAAGCGCUUGCAGCCAGACUUGCCCGUAGUUGCUCACCCGGACUUUUGCCCGGGGCACUCUUCUGCGGGCAGGCCAGCAUCAGUUUGGGCGACCGGAUAACGGCCUCUGUCAUGUAUCUUCCUCCGGGAUGACCUUAUAGGGGAGGCGUAAUGCGGCCAGCCUGGACUGAGGUCCGCGCUUCGGCUAGGAUGCUGGCGUAAUGGCUGUAAGCGGCCCGUCUUGAAACACGGACCAAGGAGUCUAACAUCUAUGCGAGUGUUUGGGUGUCAAGCCCGGGCGCGUAAUGAAAGUGAACGGAGGUGGGAACCCUUUCGGGGGCGCACCAUCGACCGAUCCUGAUGUCUUCGGAUGGAUUUGAGUAAGAGCAUAGCUGUUGGGACCCGAAAGAUGGUGAACUAUGCUUGAAUAGGGUGAAGCCAGAGGAAACUCUGGUGGAGGCUCGCAGCGGUUCUGACGUGCAAAUCGAUCGUCAAAUUUGGGCAUAGGGGCGAAAGACUAAUCG